This 557-nucleotide ribosomal RNA is filed under the name uncultured bacterium. Its description in RNAcentral is "bacterial SSU rRNA". It matches the Rfam family "Bacterial small subunit ribosomal RNA", at positions 102 to 694 of the family's 1533-position model. The record is from RNAcentral.
ACGGGUGAGUAACGCGUGGGAAUCUACCGUACCCUACGGAAUAGCUCCGGGAAACUGGAAUUAAUACCGUAUACGCCCUACGGGGGAAAGAUUUAUCGGGGUAUGAUGAGCCCGCGUUGGAUUAGCUAGUUGGUGGGGUAAAGGCCUACCAAGGCGACGAUCCAUAGCUGGUCUGAGAGGAUGAUCAGCCACAUUGGGACUGAGACACGGCCCAAACUCCUACGGGAGGCAGCAGUGGGGAAUAUUGGACAAUGGGCGCAAGCCUGAUCCAGCCAUGCCGCGUGAGUGAUGAAGGUCUUAGGAUUGUAAAGCUCUUUCACCGAUGAAGAUAAUGACGGUAGUCGGAGAAGAAGCCCCGGCUAACUUCGUGCCAGCAGCCGCGGUAAUACGAAGGGGGCUGGCGUUGUUCGGAAUUACUGGGCGUAAAGCGCACGUAGGCGGAUAUUUAAGUCAGGGGUGAAAUCCCAGAGCUCAACUCUGGAACUGCCUUUGAUACUGGGUAUCUUGAGUAUGGAAGAGGUAAGUGGAAUUCCGAGUGUAGAGGUGAAAUUCGUAGA